Non-coding RNA from Populus trichocarpa (black cottonwood), 155 nucleotides. The record is from Rfam. Lineage: Eukaryota; Viridiplantae; Streptophyta; Magnoliopsida; Malpighiales; Salicaceae.
UCUAGAACUCGAGAUAUGGGCUGACACUGAACAGUGUCUAGGCUGCAGGACAGAUUCCGACUUUUCCGUUGUUGCUACCAUUUGAAUUCAAAAAUGACACUUUUAAAUCCUGGACUCCUUGUGAAAGUUUUAGGCCUAUGUCUUAGCUUUCCAUA